This 253-nucleotide ribosomal RNA is filed under the name uncultured bacterium. RNAcentral describes it as "partial 16S ribosomal RNA". It matches the Rfam family "Bacterial small subunit ribosomal RNA", at positions 524 to 776 of the family's 1533-position model. The record is from RNAcentral.
UACGUAGGGGGCGAGCGUUGUCCGGAAUUAUUGGGCGUAAAGGGCUCGUAGGCGGUUUGUCGCGUCGGGAGUGAAAUCCACUGGCUUAACUGGUGGCUUGCUUUCGAUACGGGCAGACUGGAGGUAUGCAGGGGAGAACGGAAUUCCUGGUGUAGCGGUGAAAUGCGCAGAUAUCAGGAGGAACACCGGUGGCGAAGGCGGUUCUCUGGGCAUGUCCUGACGCUGAGGAGCGAAAGUGUGGGGAGCGAACAGG